CGACCAAGGAGUCUAGCAUGUGCGCAAGUCACUGGGUCCUGCUAAACCCACAGGCGUAAUGAAAUGUGAAAGCCGACCUCUGGUCGGCUGCGUUGCGAUCCCCGGCACACUGCUGCCGGGGCACAGCAAUGGCCCGCCCUAAGCGCUUCCUGUCGUUGGGGCGGAGCAAGAGCGCACACGCUGGCACCCGAAAGAUGGUGAACUAUGCCCGGGCAGGACGAGGCCAGAGGAAACUCUGGUGGAGGUCCGAAGCGAUUCUGACGUGCAAAUCGAUCGUCCGACCUGGGUAUAGGGGCGAAAGACUAAUCGAAUCAUCUAGUAGCUGGUUCCCUCCGAAGUUUCCCUCAGGAUAGCUGGCGCUCGUUGAGAAACCAGUUUCACCUGGUAAAGCGAAUGAUUAGAGGCAUUGGGGUCGAAACGACCUCAACCUAUUCUCAAACUUUCAAUGGGUGAGCGGAGACUUUCAUAAGCUUCGAAGCCUCCCAAAAACAAUGAGAGUGCCCAGUGGGCCACUUUUGGUAAGCAGAACUGGCGCUGUGGGAUGAACCAAACGCCGGGGUAAGGCGCCCGAUGCCGAACGCUCAUAAGAACCCAUGAAGGGUGUUGGUUGCUUAAGACAGCAGGACAGUGGCCAUGGAAGUUGGA
Molecule: ribosomal RNA, 645 nt
Filed under: Allothyrus cf. constrictus OSAL004751
Lineage: Eukaryota; Metazoa; Arthropoda; Arachnida; Holothyrida; Allothyridae
Description: eukaryotic LSU rRNA
Rfam family: Eukaryotic large subunit ribosomal RNA
Source: RNAcentral